RNAcentral lists this ribosomal RNA (253 nucleotides) under uncultured bacterium. RNAcentral describes it as "partial 16S ribosomal RNA". It matches the Rfam family "Bacterial small subunit ribosomal RNA", at positions 524 to 776 of the family's 1533-position model. The record is from RNAcentral.
UACGUAGGGGGCAAGCGUUGUCCGGAAUCAUUGGGCGUAAAGGGCUUGUAGGCGGUCCGUUAAGUCCGCUCUGAAAGCCCGGGGCUCAACCCCGGGAGGCGGGCGGAUACUGUCGGGCUAGAGUCCGGAAGAGGCAAGUGGAAUUCCUGGUGUAGCGGUGAAAUGCGCAGAUAUCAGGAGGAACACCGAUGGCGAAGGCAGCUUGCUGGGACGGUACUGACGCUGAGACGCGAAAGCGUGGGGAGCAAACAGG